UACGAUGGGGGCUAGCGUUGUUCGGAAUCACUGGGCGUAAAGCGCACGUAGGCGGACUCUUAAGUUAGAGGUGAAAGCCUGAGGCUCGACCUCAGAAUUGCCUUUGAUACUGGGAGUCUUGAGUAUGGUAGAGGUUGGUGGAACAGCAAGUGUAGAGGUGAAAUUCGUAGAUAUUUGCUAGAACACCGGUGGCGAAGGCGGCCAACUGGACCAUAACUGACGCUGAGGUGCGAAAGCGUGGGGAGCAAACAGG
Molecule: ribosomal RNA, 253 nt
Filed under: uncultured bacterium
Lineage: Bacteria
Description: partial 16S ribosomal RNA
Rfam family: Bacterial small subunit ribosomal RNA
Source: RNAcentral